UACGAAGGGGGCUAGCGUUGCUCGGAAUCACUGGGCGCAAAGCGCACGUAGGCGGACUCUUAAGUCAGGGGUGAAAUCCCAAGGCUCAACCUUGGAAUUGCCUUUGAUACUGGCAAUCUGGAGUUCGGGAGAGGUGAGUGGAAUUCCGAGUGUAGAGGUGAAAUUCGAUAGAUAUUCGGAGGAACACCAGAAGCGAAGGCGGCUCACUGGCCCGAUACUGACGCUGAGGCGCGAAAGCGUGGGGAGCAAACAGG
This 254-nucleotide ribosomal RNA is filed under the name uncultured bacterium. RNAcentral describes it as "partial 16S ribosomal RNA". It matches the Rfam family "Bacterial small subunit ribosomal RNA", at positions 524 to 776 of the family's 1533-position model. The record is from RNAcentral.